Molecule: ribosomal RNA, 433 nt
Filed under: uncultured bacterium
Lineage: Bacteria
Description: partial 16S ribosomal RNA
Rfam family: Bacterial small subunit ribosomal RNA
Source: RNAcentral
AACGAACGCUGGCGGCAUGCCUAACACAUGCAAGUCGAACGAGACCUUCGGGUCUAGUGGCGCACGGGUGCGUAACGCGUGGGAACCUGCCCUUAGGUUCGGAAUAACUCCCCGAAAGGGGUGCUAAUACCGGAUAAUGUCUUCGGACCAAAGAUUUAUCGCCUUUGGAUGGGCCCGCGUUGGAUUAGCUAGUUGGUAGGGUAAAAGCCUACCAAGGCGACGAUCCAUAGCUGGUCUGAGAGGAUGAUCAGCCACACUGGGACUGAGACACGGCCCAGACUCCUACGGGAGGCAGCAGUGGGGAAUAUUGGACAAUGGGCGAAAGCCUGAUGCAGCCAUGCCGCGUGAGUGAUGAAGGCCUUAGGGUUGUAAAGCUCUUUUACCCGGGAUGAUAAUGACAGUACCGGGAGAAUAAGCUCCGGCUAACUCCGUG